This 464-nucleotide ribosomal RNA is filed under the name uncultured bacterium. RNAcentral describes it as "partial 16S ribosomal RNA". It matches the Rfam family "Bacterial small subunit ribosomal RNA", at positions 338 to 795 of the family's 1533-position model. The record is from RNAcentral.
CCUACGGGAGGCUGCAGUGGGGAAUAUUGCGCAAUGGGCGAAAGCCUGACGCAGCGACGCCGCGUGCGGGAUGAAGGUCUUCGGAUCGUAAACCUCUUUCAGCAGGGAAGGACGGUCACUGUGCUAAUCAGCAGUGAAUUGACGGUACCUGCAAAGGAAGCACCGGCUAACUCCGUGCCAGCGGCCGCGGUAAUGCGGCGGGUGCGAUCGUUAAUCGGAAUUACUGGGCGUAAAGCGCUCGUAGGCGGUAUGUCAAGUCAAGGGGGAACUCCCCGCGCUAAACGUGGAACUGCAUUUGAAACUGGCAAACUGGAGUGUGUGAGAGGAUAGGGGAAUUCCAGGUGUAGGAGUGAAAUCCGUAGAUAUCUGGAGGAACAUCAGUGGCGAAGGCGACUAUCUGGCACAUAACUGACGCUGAGGAGCGAAAGCGUGGGUAGCAAACAGGAUGAGAUACCCUUGUAGUC